GGACGAACGCUGGCGGCGUGCUUAACACAUGCAAGUCGAACGGGAGUAUUGAAGAAGCUUGCUUUAGAGAUACUUUAGUGGCGGACGGGUGAGUAACGCGUGAGGAGCUGUCCAAUGCAGGGGGACAACAGUUGGAAACGACUGCUAAUACCCCAUAAGCCGAGAGGUAAAAGGAUUUAUCCGGCAAUGGAGGUACUCGCGUCCUAUCAGCUAGUAGGUGAGGUAACGGCUCACCUAGGCGAAGACGGGUAGCCGGACUGAGAGGUCGAACGGCCACAUUGGGACUGAGAUACGGCCCAGACUCCUACGGGAGGCAGCAGUGGGGAAUAUUGGGCAAUGGGCGAAAGCCUGACCCAGCAACGCCGCGUGAAGGAAGAAGGUCUUCGGAUUGUAAACUUCUUUUAUGAGGGACGAACAAAAUGACGGUACCUCAUGAAUAAGCCACGGCUAACUACGUGCCAGCAGCCGCGGUAAUACGUAGGUGGCAAGCGUUAUCCGGAUUUACUGGGUGUAAAGGGCGCGUAGGCGGGGAUGCAAGUCAGAUGUGAAAUCUAUGGGCUUAACCCAUAAANUGCAUUUGAAACUGUGUCUCUUGAGUGUCGGAGAGGUAGAUGGAAUUCCUUGUGUAGCGGUGAAAUGCGUNNNNNUAAGGAAGAACACCAGUGGCGAAGGCGAUCUACUGGACGAUAACUGACGCUGAGGCGCGAAAGCGUGGGGAGCAAACAGGAUUAGAUACNNNGGUAGUCCACGCUGUAAACGAUGAAUACUAGGUGUGGGGGGACUGACCCCUUCCGUGCCGCAGUUAACACAAUAAGUAUUCCACCUGGGGAGUACGGCCGCAAGGUUGAAACUCAAAGGAAUUGACGGGGGCCCGCACAAGCAGUGGAUUAUGUGGUUUAAUUCGAAGCAACGCGAAGAACCUUACCAGGGCUUGACAUCCAACUAACGAAGCAGAGAUGCAUUAGGUGCCCUUCGGGGAAAGUUGAGACAGGUGGUGCAUGGUUGUCGUCAGCUCGUGUCGUGAGAUGUUGGGUUAAGUCCCGCAACGAGCGCAACCCCCAUUGUUAGUUGCUACGCAAGAGCACUCUAGCGAGACUGCCGUUGACAAAACGGAGGAAGGUGGGGACGACGUCAAAUCAUCAUGCCCCUUAUGUCCUGGGCUACACACGUAAUACAAUGGCGUCUAACAAAGGGAAGCGAGACCGCGAGGUCGAGCAAAUCUCAAAAAGACGUCUCAGUUCGGAUUGCAGGCUGCAACUCGCCUGCAUGAAGUCGGAAUUGCUAGUAAUCGCGGAUCAGCAUGCCGCGGUGAAUACGUUCCCGGGCCU
Molecule: ribosomal RNA, 1328 nt
Filed under: uncultured bacterium
Lineage: Bacteria
Description: bacterial SSU rRNA
Rfam family: Bacterial small subunit ribosomal RNA
Source: RNAcentral